This is a long non-coding RNA of Scleropages formosus (Asian bonytongue), 284 nucleotides long. RefSeq lists it as uncharacterized. The transcript has 3 exons. The record is from RefSeq and is a predicted model, not a curated record. Lineage: Eukaryota; Metazoa; Chordata; Actinopteri; Osteoglossiformes; Osteoglossidae.
UAACUGAAAACAAUUAUUUUAAAGAAUGGUGAACAUGGAUCAAGAUUUGGAGGAAAUGCUGGUUAUUGCCGAAAAGCAGGAUUGUCUCACUGUGGGAGGUCACGAGUCAGCCAAGCUGAUGAACAUAUGCAAAGGAUCACUGUCCUGCAGAACUACUGUAAUCCAAAUCUUCUACUGGGACAACACCAUUAACACCACAUGCAUAAAAGUGGCUGUGAAGCUGGAGGCGCGAAGGAAUUCUCCGGACCCUUUGAAGCCGGUCGACGCUUUGGCUGAAACACCCA